This 84-nucleotide microRNA precursor is filed under the name Bombyx mori (domestic silkworm). RNAcentral's name for it is "mir-2807 microRNA precursor family". It matches the Rfam family "mir-2807 microRNA precursor family". The record is from Rfam by way of RNAcentral. Lineage: Eukaryota; Metazoa; Arthropoda; Insecta; Lepidoptera; Bombycidae.
UUAGCUCAUAUUUGUAUGGAGUUGGAACGUUUGCAUGCGUUUACCGCUAGGGGCACUGUUCGAACUGCAUACAAAAUUGGCUUA